Molecule: ribosomal RNA, 183 nt
Filed under: uncultured bacterium
Lineage: Bacteria
Description: partial 16S ribosomal RNA
Rfam family: Bacterial small subunit ribosomal RNA
Source: RNAcentral
CGUGAAAACCUAGGGCUUAACCCGGGGCUUGCGGGCGAUACGGGCGGGCUAGAGUUCGGUAGGGGAGACUGGAAUUCCUGGUGUAGCGGUGAAAUGCGCAGAUAUCAGGAGGAACACCGGUGGCGAAGGCGGGUCUCUGGGCCGAUACUGACGCUGAGGAGCGAAAGCGUGGGGAGCGAACAG